AGCGAACGCUGGCGGCAGGCCUAACACAUGCAAGUCGAACGGAUCCUUCGGGAUUAGUGGCGGACGGGUGAGUAACACGUGGGAACGUGCCUUUUGGUUCGGAACAACUCAGGGAAACUUGAGCUAAUACCGGAUGUGCCCUUCGGGGGAAGGAUUUAUCGCCAUUAGAGCGGCCCGCGUCUGAUUAGCUAGUUGGUGAGGUAAAGGCUCACCAAGGCUACGAUCAGUAGCUGGUCUGAGAGGAUGAUCAGCCACACUGGGACUGAGACACGGCCC
RNAcentral lists this ribosomal RNA (276 nucleotides) under uncultured bacterium. RNAcentral's name for it is "partial 16S ribosomal RNA". It matches the Rfam family "Bacterial small subunit ribosomal RNA", at positions 29 to 332 of the family's 1533-position model. The record is from RNAcentral.